GUGGGGAAUAUUGGGCAAUGGGCGAAAGCCUGACCCAGCAACGCCGCGUGAAGGAAGAAGGUUUUCGGAUUGUAAACUUCUGUCCUCAGGGAAGAAGGAAGUGACGGUACCUGAGGAGGAAGCCCCGGCUAACUACGUGCCAGCAGCCGCGGUAAUACGUAGGGGGCGAGCGUUGUCCGGAAUGACUGGGCGUAAAGGGCGCGUAGACGGCUGUCUAAGUCUGGAGUGAAAGUCCUGCUUUCAAGGUGGGAAUUGCUUUGGAGACUGGAUGGCUUGAGUGCGGAAGAGGUAAGUGGAAUUCCCAGUGUAGCGGUGAAAUGCGUAGAGAUUGGGAAGAACACCAGUGGCGAAGGCGACUUACUGGGCCGUAACUGACGUUGAUGCGCGAAAGCGUGGGGAGCGAACAGGAUUAGAUACCCUUGUAGUCC
Molecule: ribosomal RNA, 428 nt
Filed under: uncultured bacterium
Lineage: Bacteria
Description: partial 16S ribosomal RNA
Rfam family: Bacterial small subunit ribosomal RNA
Source: RNAcentral